This 72-nucleotide transfer RNA is filed under the name Blastococcus fimeti. RNAcentral describes it as "Blastococcus sp. DSM 44205 tRNA_Trp_CCA". It matches the Rfam family "tRNA". From Rfam's summary of the family: Transfer RNA (tRNA) molecules are approximately 80 nucleotides in length. Their secondary structure includes four short double-helical elements and three loops (D, anti-codon, and T loops). Further hydrogen bonds mediate the characteristic L-shaped molecular structure. tRNAs have two regions of fundamental functional importance: the anti-codon, which is responsible for specific mRNA codon recognition, and the 3' end, to which the tRNAs corresponding amino acid is attached (by aminoacyl-tRNA synthetases). tRNAs cope with the degeneracy of the genetic code in two manners: having more than one tRNA (with a specific anti-codon) for a particular amino acid; and 'wobble' base-pairing, i.e. permitting non-standard base-pairing at the 3rd anti-codon position. The record is from RNAcentral. Lineage: Bacteria; Bacillati; Actinomycetota; Actinomycetes; Geodermatophilales; Geodermatophilaceae.
AGGAAUAUAGUAUAGUUGGUAGUACAUGGGUCUCCAAAACCUGUAACCGUGGUUCGAGUCCACGUGUUCCUG